CAACCCUCAAGCCUGGCUUGGUGUUGGGCGCGGCCCGUGGGCCGGCCCCAAAGGCAGUGGCGGUGCCGCCGGUCCCUGAGCGCAGUACGUCUCUCGCUCCAGGGCCCCGCGGUGGCCGGCCAGAACCCCCUCUCCUC
Molecule: unclassified non-coding RNA, 137 nt
Filed under: uncultured Leotiomycetes
Lineage: Eukaryota; Fungi; Ascomycota; Leotiomycetes
Description: sequence contains ITS2
Source: RNAcentral